CUGGCGGCACGCCUAACACAUGCAAGUCGAACGAAGUAGCAAUACUUAGUGGCAGACGGGUGAGUAACAUGUAGGUAUCUGCCCUAUGGCCUGGAAUAACACGAGGAAACUUGUGCUAAUACCGGAUAAGUCUUUACGGAGAAAGCUUUAUGCACCAUUGGAUGAGCCUGCACUUGAUUAGUUUGUUGGUGGGGUAAUGGCCUACCAAGACUGUGAUCAAUAGCUGAUUUGAGAGGAUGAUCAGCCACAUUGGGACUGAGACACGGCCCAAACUCCUACGGGAGGCAGCAGUGGGGAAUCUUGCACAAUGGAGGAAACUCUGAUGCAGCGAUGCCGCGUGAGUGAAGAAGGCCUUUGGGUUGUAAAGCUCUUUCGUCGGGGAAGAAAAUGACUGUACCCGAAUAAGAAGGUCCGGCU
Molecule: ribosomal RNA, 417 nt
Filed under: uncultured bacterium
Lineage: Bacteria
Description: bacterial SSU rRNA
Rfam family: Bacterial small subunit ribosomal RNA
Source: RNAcentral